GGGCCUGUAGCUCAGUUGGGAGAGCGUCUGACUGGCAGUCAGAAGGUCAGGGGUUCGAUUCCCCUCAGGUCCACCA
This 76-nucleotide transfer RNA is filed under the name Polyangiaceae bacterium. RNAcentral describes it as "tRNA-Ala". It matches the Rfam family "tRNA". Rfam says of the family: Transfer RNA (tRNA) molecules are approximately 80 nucleotides in length. Their secondary structure includes four short double-helical elements and three loops (D, anti-codon, and T loops). The record is from RNAcentral. Lineage: Bacteria; Pseudomonadati; Myxococcota; Polyangiales; Polyangiaceae.